UAAUAAAUAAAUAAAUCUUUAAAAAAAAAAAAAAAAAAAAAAAGAAAGAAAGCUUUUCUCCCAGUGUUUCUAGCAAGUGUCUAUAGCUGUAUGCAUUUAUGUCUGGAUCUUCUGUUGCUCUACAUGUGGGUUCUUCUGCUAGCAACACACUGCUUUUAUUCCUGUAGCUCUGUCACAUAAACUUGAAAUUGGAUAUGUUGGUACCUCCAGCAUUGCUCUUUGUCCAGAAUUGCUUUAGCUAACUAAGCACUUUAUGUUUCUGAAUGGAUCUUUAAAUUUUUUCCAGUAUCUGAGAAGAAACGAUGUUGGCAUUUUGAUGGGGACUUCCUUGAGUCUUUAGAGUGUCUCUGGUUAAAAUGGCCAUCUUCAGUAUUGAUUCUUUCAACCCACAUGCAUGAGAUUCUUCCAUCUUUCAGUGUCUUCCCCUUGAGCACUGGGCCUCUUCGGGAUGUUUUGAAGUCUUCAUUACAGAGGUCAUCACUUCCUUGGUGGGAUAUAUUCCCAUUAUUUUAUAUUUAUGAUGGCUACUGUGAGUGGGAUUUUCUGUUUCAUUUCAACAUGUGUGUCCUUGGUAGAUAGGAGGGCAACAAAUUUCUGUAUGAUGGCUUUAUAUGCUGCCAUUUUACAGUGUUAAAAGAGUUUUCUGGUAGUCUUUGAGAUAUCAUGUAUAGAAUCAUAUCAUCUGAAAACAGACAGUUGGACUUCUUUCUACUUGUAUCUCUCUCGUUAAUGCCUCUUGUCUUACUCUCUAGCUUAGACUCCCAGCGCUACAUUUUAAAAGAGUGGUAAAGUAGAUACAUGUAUCUUAUUUCAGACUUUAAUAGAAAUGCUUUGAGUUUCUCCCUCCUUUAAUACCCUGUUGGCUGUGGAUAUGUCAUAUGUAGCCUUUAUUACGUUGAAGUAUGUCCCUUCUGUUCCAAGUUUCUCCAGGACUUUUAUCAUAAAGAGAUGUUGGGGUUUGUAAAAAGCCUUUUCUACAUCUGUUGAAAUACCCAUGUGAUUUCUGCCCUUGAGCCCACUGUGUGAGCUGUUGCAAUUUUGAUUUACCAUGUGUUGAGCCAUCCUUGCAUGCUUGGAAUUAAAAGGACUUGGUUGUGAUGAAUGAACUUUCUUAUGUUUCCUUACAUUUGAUUUGCAAGUAUUUUUAUUG
RNAcentral lists this long non-coding RNA (1150 nucleotides) under Mus musculus (house mouse). Its description in RNAcentral is "long non-coding RNA chr13:37386013-37387163". Lineage: Eukaryota; Metazoa; Chordata; Mammalia; Rodentia; Muridae. The record is from RNAcentral.